Pelobates cultripes (western spadefoot toad) is the source of this 313-nucleotide non-coding RNA. Lineage: Eukaryota; Metazoa; Chordata; Amphibia; Anura; Pelobatidae. The record is from the annotation of a GenBank genome assembly.
CCGUUACCAAGAUUUUUUUAAUUUUACAAUCAGCAUAUACAAACAAAGACAACAUUUACAACUCAUAUAACUUAGAUAAUAAGAAUUCUAAAUAUAUUCUUAACUGUAAAUAAGUGGUACCUUAAAAAAAAAAAAAAAAGGAUAGGAGGUAUUAUUUAUGGUUUAACAUGAAAAAGCUUUGCUUUAGUGAAAUGAUGGGUAGUAAAUAAAAUUUUAAUCACAGUUUUAGUAUGUUUCACAGUCACAAUGCAGAUCUUCUCAUGUUAUUCUAUUGCUGCUUCAUAAAACCUUGGAGUUGACUAUACCAUUCCCU